GAUGGACGCUGGCGGCGUGCCUAAUACAUGCAAGUCGAGCGAACGGACGAGAAGCUUGCUUCUCUGAUGUUAGCGGCGGACGGGUGAGUAACACGUGGAUAACCUACCUAUAAGACUGGGAUAACUUCGGGAAACCGGAGCUAAUACCGGAUAAUAUUUUGAACCGCAUGGUUCAAAAGUGAAAGACGGUCUUGCUGUCACUUAUAGAUGGAUCCGCGCUGCAUUAGCUAGUUGGUAAGGUAACGGCUUACCAAGGCAACGAUGCAUAGCCGACCUGAGAGGGUGAUCGGCCACACUGGAACUGAGACACGGUCCAGACUCCUACGGGAGGCAGCAGUAGGGAAUCUUACGCAAUGGGCGAAAGCCUGACGGAGCAACGCCGCGUGAGUGAUGAAGGUCUUCGGAUCGUAAAACUCUGUUAUUAGGGAAGAACAUAUGUGUAAGUAACUGUGCACAUCUUGACGGUACCUAAUCAGAAAGCCACGGCUAACUACGUG
RNAcentral lists this ribosomal RNA (497 nucleotides) under uncultured bacterium. Its description in RNAcentral is "partial 16S ribosomal RNA". It matches the Rfam family "Bacterial small subunit ribosomal RNA", at positions 28 to 507 of the family's 1533-position model. The record is from RNAcentral.